Molecule: long non-coding RNA, 231 nt
Filed under: Gossypium barbadense (sea-island cotton)
Lineage: Eukaryota; Viridiplantae; Streptophyta; Magnoliopsida; Malvales; Malvaceae
Description: long non-coding RNA (GBAR_LNC012413)
Source: RNAcentral
UGAAAACCUACAGCUAAGAAUCAAUAAAAAUUGCUGAAAACAGAAAACCCAAAAAACUGCGGAGUAACUUGACAACUUCGUUCGAGGUGUUCCCGAUCUCCAAAAAUCACGAAAUUAAAUCUAGAGUGUCCUUAUAUAUUGAAUUUUCGAUCUGGAAAUUUUGGGAACCAAAUUCAACCCGCUGAAUCUUUUUUAAAAUUUUUAUUGAAUUUCGUAUUUUUUGAUUUUUUU